This 425-nucleotide ribosomal RNA is filed under the name bacterium. Its description in RNAcentral is "bacterial SSU rRNA". It matches the Rfam family "Bacterial small subunit ribosomal RNA", at positions 354 to 776 of the family's 1533-position model. The record is from RNAcentral.
GUGAGGAAUAUUGGUCAAUGGAGGCAACUCUGAACCAGCCAAGUCGCGUGAAGGAUGAAGGUCUUAUGGAUUGUAAACUUCUUUUGUAAGGGAAUAAAGUGGGGGACGUGUCCUCUUUUGCAUGUACCUUACGAAUAAGGAUCGGCUAACUCCGUGCCAGCAGCCGCGGUAAUACGGAGGAUCCGAGCGUUAUCCGGAUUUAUUGGGUUUAAAGGGUGCGCAGGCGGGAUGUUAAGUCGGCGGUGAAAUUUUGCAGCUCAACUGUAAAAGUGCCUUCGAUACUGGCUUUCUUGAGUGUGGAUGAAGUAGGCGGAAUUUGUGGUGUAGCGGUGAAAUGCUUAGAUAUCACGAGGAACUCCGAUUGCGCAGGCAGCUUACUAAACCACUACUGACGCUCAUGCACGAAGGCGUGGGGAUCAAACAGG